RNAcentral lists this ribosomal RNA (104 nucleotides) under Clostridium saudiense. Its description in RNAcentral is "partial 23S ribosomal RNA". It matches the Rfam family "Bacterial large subunit ribosomal RNA", at positions 2824 to 2925 of the family's 2925-position model. The record is from RNAcentral. Lineage: Bacteria; Bacillati; Bacillota; Clostridia; Eubacteriales; Clostridiaceae.
GCUAGUAAGACCCCUUGAAGAACACAAGGUUGAUAGGUCAGAGGUGUAAGUGCGGUAACGUAUUUAGCUGACUGAUACUAAUAGGUCGAGGGCUUGACCAAUAA